Molecule: long non-coding RNA, 413 nt
Organism: Silurus meridionalis
Lineage: Eukaryota; Metazoa; Chordata; Actinopteri; Siluriformes; Siluridae
Exons: 3
Source: RefSeq, a predicted model, not a curated record
UCAACCGUGUUUUUUGCGCUUUCUGCAAAACUGUCACACACAUGCAGCUUCGCAAGUAUAACCUGCACUCAGUACACCAUCUUCAGUUCUCUGUGUGGCUGAAGAGCACUCGAUCGGUCCGAGCGAGCUUAGCAGGCGGCUCCAGAGAUUCCUCACCGAGGGCGGCUCCAUCAGCAGGCAAAGCUAAUUCCUGACAUUCAUCAUCACUCUCCUCGUCCUCCUCAUCUUCCUCUUCUGAUAAAUACACAGAGGAAUGGUUACAAUCACAGAUGUGACACAGAAGGAGUGUUUGACAGAUGAUGGUUGGCUCACCUGUAGAAACUCCAUCUGAGCAGAAAGAGUUUAGCAGCUUUGGGGAAGGCAGGGCUGGCCUGGUAGGGCUUUAGGACCUGGGAGACAACACCGUCCAGCCA